AUUGAACGCUGGCGGCAUGCCUUACACAUGCAAGUCGAACGGCAUCGCGGGAAAGCUUGCUUUCCUGGCGGCGAGUGGCGAACGGGUGAGUAACACAUCGGAACGUACCGGCUAGUGGGGGAUAACCCAUCGAAAGACGGGCUAAUACCGCAUACGCUCUUCGGAGGAAAGCAGGGGACCUUUGGGCCUUGCGCUAGUCGAGCGGCCGAUGUCCGAUUAGCUAGUUGGUGGGGUAAAGGCCUACCAAGGCGACGAUCGGUAGCGGGUCUGAGAGGACGAUCCGCCACACUGGGACUGAGACACGGCCCAGACUCCUACGGGAGGCAGCAGUGGGGAAUCUUGGACAAUGGGGGCAACCCUGAUCCAGCAAUGCCGCGUGGGUGAAGAAGGCCUUCGGGUUGUAAAGCCCUUUCGGCAGGGAAGAAAUCGGCGGGGCGAAUAACCCUGCUGGAUGACGGUACCUGCAGAAGAAGCACCGGCUAACUACGUG
RNAcentral lists this ribosomal RNA (490 nucleotides) under uncultured bacterium. RNAcentral's name for it is "partial 16S ribosomal RNA". It matches the Rfam family "Bacterial small subunit ribosomal RNA", at positions 29 to 507 of the family's 1533-position model. The record is from RNAcentral.